CCCUGGUAGUCCACGCUGUAAACGAUGUCGACUAGGAGGUGGGGCCUUUGAGGCGUGGCUUCCGGAGCUAACGCGUUAAGUCGACCGCCUGGGGAGUACGGCCGCAAGGUUAAAACUCAAAUGAAUUGACGGGGGCCCGCACAAGCGGUGGAGCAUGUGGUUUAAUUCGAUGCAACGCGAAGAACCUUACCUGGUCUUGACAUCCUAAGAAUUUUCCAGAGAUGGAUUGGUGCCUUCGGGAACUUUGAUACAGGUGCUGCAUGGCUGUCGUCAGCUCGUGUUGUGAAAUGUUGGGUUAAGUCCCGCAACGAGCGCAACCCUUUUCCUUUGUUGCCAGCGAGUAAUGGCGGGAACUUAAAGGAGACUGCCGGUGAUAAACCGGAGGAAGGUGGGGAUGACGUCAAGUCAUCAUGGCCCUUACGACCAGGGCUACACACGUGCUACAAUGGCGUAUACAAAGGGAAGCGAMCUCGCGAGAGCAAGCGGACCUCAUAAAGUACGUCGUAGUCCGGAUCGGAGUCUGCAACUCGACUCCGUGAAGUCGGAAUCGCUAGUAAUCGCAGAUCAGAAUGCUACGGUGAAUACGUUCCCGGGCCUUGUACACACCGCCCGUCACACCAUGGGAGUGUGUUGCACAAGAAGUAGGUAGCUUAACCUCCGGGAGGGCGCUUACCACUUUGUG
RNAcentral lists this ribosomal RNA (682 nucleotides) under Serratia fonticola. RNAcentral's name for it is "bacterial SSU rRNA". The record is from RNAcentral. Lineage: Bacteria; Pseudomonadati; Pseudomonadota; Gammaproteobacteria; Enterobacterales; Yersiniaceae.